AUUGAACGCUGGCGGCACGCCUAACACAUGCAAGUCGAGCGGCAGCGAGAGUAGUAGCAAUACUACUUGUCGGCGAGCGGCGGACGGGUGAGGAAAGUGUAGGAAUCUGCCCUUUAGCGGGGGAUAACUAAGGGAAACUUUAGCUAAUACCGCAUAAUCUAGAGAUAGCAAAGUUGCACGCGAGGGUUACACGAGAGGAGGAGACUGCAUCCGAUUAGCUAGUUGGUGAGGUAAAGGCUCACCAAAGCGAUGAUCGGUAACUGGUCUGAGAGGACGACCAGUCACACUGGGACUGAGACACGGCCCAGACUCCUACGGGAGGCAGCAGUGGGGAAUCUUGGACAAUGGGGGCAACCCUGAUCCAGCGAUGCCGCGUGGGUGAAGAAGGCCUUCGGGUUGUAAAGCCCUUUAGGCUGGGAAGAAGUUAGUUAGCUUAAUACGCUAAUUGAUUGACGGUACCAGCAGAAUAAGCACCGGCAAACUCUGUGCCAGCAGCCGCGGUAA
This 504-nucleotide ribosomal RNA is filed under the name uncultured bacterium. RNAcentral's name for it is "partial 16S ribosomal RNA". It matches the Rfam family "Bacterial small subunit ribosomal RNA", at positions 30 to 523 of the family's 1533-position model. The record is from RNAcentral.